Molecule: ribosomal RNA, 220 nt
Filed under: uncultured bacterium
Lineage: Bacteria
Description: partial 16S ribosomal RNA
Rfam family: Bacterial small subunit ribosomal RNA
Source: RNAcentral
GACAGAGGGUGCAAACGUUUGUUCGGAAUUACUGGGCGUAAAGCGCGUGUAGGCGGCUAAGUAAGUCGGGCGUGAAAUCCCACGGCUCAACCGUGGAAGUGCACUCGAAACUGCAUAGCUAGAGUCCUGGAGAGGAAGGUGGAAUGCUUGGUGUAGAGGUGAAAUUCGUAGAUAUCAAGCGGAACACCGGUCGGCGAAGGCGGGCCUUACUGGACAGUGA